UUGAGUUAAGGAAGGUAACCCUAAAAAGUCAUCCCUUCAGUAUUUUUCACGGUUAUCUCUCUUUGACCAUAUUUUGAGUGUUAUUUCAGUCUAAUCUGACAUAAUUUUUCUCACGCAGAAUUGUUUUGGUGUGCUAGAUGGAUAGAGCUUACUUUUCUGAGAAAUUUGAUGCCAAAAUCAACAAUAUUACUUAAUUUUUCAGCUAGUUACAGAUGUUCAAAGUUCGGUAAUAUUUAUUGGGUGAAAAUAAGCCAGGCUGUGUUUGGUACCUCAGUGACUAGAUUCUAGAGGCUACCUGCUGAUCCAGAACAAGAUGUUUUGGAAGAUCUGGAUCUAGAGGCACUCCUGUACAAAUACGGUCCCGUUUGUUUUCAUGAUGGCCAUUGUGGGAGUGAAUAUAGAUAAUCUAUCCAGAAUCUAGAUUCUGGAUAGCCAAGUGGGGAGAUAUUUGCUCACAAGACAAACGUGUGUGCCUCAGUGACAGAGACCUGGUCUAUCUCCUGGACACGAGGAGAGAGCAAAGGUCAACCAGAAACUGGAGGAGGCUGUUUCCAUCUGUACUUUUUACCUGUGCUGAAAGUGGCUUGAAAGAGCACCAAAACUGGUCCCUCACACCGGUGGAGCAACUGGCUGUUGCUAUGGAGAGAAGCUUUCUACGUAAAACAUCAUCUUUUUCCGAGUUGGACAUUCCAAAAAUUCCUGCUGGCCCAGCCACUGGAGGUGAGGAUGUUUCUGAAAACUUGCACAACAGGCGUGAUCCCAACAGUCGUCUGUACCUGAGUGCCAAAGAAAUCUCGCCCUUCCUUGAGAUACAGCCAUAGUUCUCAACACUACACUCAACCAUUCACCUAAGAAACGCGAUUCUACAGACGGGCAGUGUUCCCUGCCGUAUGUGAGAGACCAUCCCUGUGGUCUGAGGCCGGUCAAGCCAGUGCCAAUAUGGAGUCAGUAUCUCUCUGACCGCUCCUCUCUACCUGUGUGUGGGAAGAAAACGGUGGUAGGGGAGAAUGUCAAAAAAAUAUAAUUGAUGUCUUCAGAACGUCAGAACCUGACAGAAAUGUUCAGCUAUCUGUCCGGAGAACAUUCACGACGCUACCAUGUUGAAGGGGACAUCAGCGCUGCUUACUCAGAGAUGGUCAUCAACAGGAUCUGUCGGUAGAUUUGACUGGACGAAAGAUGAAGCAGACAAAGAGAUCAUGUGGACAACUGAGUGGAUCUGUGUGGAUCGGAAAAAACCCUCAUGUCUAGCUCAUCCCGAAUAUUCCCCACUAUUUUUAGCUCAUCCCCAGUAUUUUUUUAUAUGAUCCCUAUUAUUUUCGAGCUCUUCUCUAAUAUAUUCCAGCUCAUUCCGAAUACUCCCUACCUUUUUUUUUAGCUCGUCCCCAGUAUUUUCUAGAUGAUCCCUAUUAUUUUUCAGCUCAUCAAUAAUAU
This 1431-nucleotide unclassified non-coding RNA is filed under the name Aplysia californica (California sea hare). RNAcentral describes it as "uncharacterized LOC101848448, transcript variant X3". The record is from RNAcentral. Lineage: Eukaryota; Metazoa; Mollusca; Gastropoda; Aplysiida; Aplysiidae.